Molecule: long non-coding RNA, 456 nt
Filed under: Monodelphis domestica (gray short-tailed opossum)
Lineage: Eukaryota; Metazoa; Chordata; Mammalia; Didelphimorphia; Didelphidae
Description: lncRNA (ENSMODG00000042413.1)
Source: RNAcentral
AAAGAUUUUUCCCCAUCUCAUUAGAGCAAAUCUUUGUUUAACUUUAUAUCCAAUACAUUUCCAGACAGCCGUCCCCUUUAUGUCACAUUUUGGGAAAAUAUAGCCAAUCUGAGUGUACUUCCAUCACUUCAAAAGGAGAACUGAUUUCAGGAUCAAGGCAAAGAAUGGAAGUCUUCAUUCUGUUUGAAAUUCGCUUCAUGGAAGCCAUAAAACUUCUGAGUCCUAAGCUAUAGCUUUACUUUACGUGAAUGCCUCCAAACUCUGCGUGGCAACUUAUUCUCUCAGUGGAGCCUCAGAUGCCUGUAAUGAAGCCAUCUGAAAUAAAUCAGAGGUCAAGAUACAGCCAAGAUAUCCAACAGCCCUCAAGAACCAUUUAUCAAGGUGAUCCCUGGUAUGUAUUUCCACAGUUAGAAUAACUUAAAAAAUUCUUUUAGAGAUUAGAGAAAUGAUGUCAAU